Molecule: ribosomal RNA, 331 nt
Filed under: Vibrio cyclitrophicus ZF99
Lineage: Bacteria; Pseudomonadati; Pseudomonadota; Gammaproteobacteria; Vibrionales; Vibrionaceae
Description: bacterial LSU rRNA
Rfam family: Bacterial large subunit ribosomal RNA
Source: RNAcentral
UCAUAAUCAGUGAAAACGAGUAGGGCGGGACACGUGAUAUCCUGUCUGAAUAUGGGGGGACCAUCCUCCAAGGCUAAAUACUACUGACUGACCGAUAGUGAACCAGUACCGUGAGGGAAAGGCGAAAAGAACCCCUGUGAGGGGAGUGAAAUAGAACCUGAAACCGUGUACGUACAAGCAGUAGGAGCACCUUUGUGGGUGACUGCGUACCUUUUGUAUAAUGGGUCAGCGACUUAAUUUUAGUAGCAAGGUUAACCGUUUAGGGGAGCCGUAGGGAAACCGAGUCUUAACUGGGCGUACAGUUGCUAGGAUUAGACCCGAAACCAGGGGA